ACAUACUUCUUUAUAUCCCCAUA
RNAcentral lists this microRNA (23 nucleotides) under Ornithorhynchus anatinus (platypus). Its description in RNAcentral is "Oan-Mir-1-P3_5p* (star (passenger))". The record is from RNAcentral. Lineage: Eukaryota; Metazoa; Chordata; Mammalia; Monotremata; Ornithorhynchidae.